Molecule: ribosomal RNA, 247 nt
Filed under: uncultured bacterium
Lineage: Bacteria
Description: partial 16S ribosomal RNA
Rfam family: Bacterial small subunit ribosomal RNA
Source: RNAcentral
GAUCCUGGCUCAGGAUGAACGCUAGCUACAGGCUUAACACAUGCAAGUCGAGGGGCAGCAUGAACUUAGCUUGCUAAGUUUGAUGGCGACCGGCGCACGGGUGAGUAACACGUAUCCAACCUGCCGAUGACUCGGGGAUAGCCUUUCGAAAGAAAGAUUAAUACCCGACUGGCAUAGUUCUUCCGCAUGGUAGAACUAUUAAAGAAAUUUACGGUUCAUCGAUGGGGAGUGCGUUCCAUUAGGUUGG